RNAcentral lists this ribosomal RNA (269 nucleotides) under uncultured prokaryote. Its description in RNAcentral is "partial 16S ribosomal RNA". It matches the Rfam family "Bacterial small subunit ribosomal RNA", at positions 524 to 792 of the family's 1533-position model. The record is from RNAcentral.
UACGGAGGGUGCAAGCGUUAAUCGGAAUUACUGGGCGUAAAGCGCGCGUAGGCGGCUCGGUCAGUCAGAUGUGAAAGCCCUGGGCUCAACCUGGGAACUGCAUUUGAUACUGCCGGACUAGAGUGCAGUAGAGGGGGGUAGAAUUCCGGGUGUAGCGGUGAAAUGCGUAGAUAUCCGGAGGAAUACCAGUGGCGAAGGCGGCCCCCUGGACUGAUACUGACGCUGAGGUGCGAAAGCGUGGGGAGCAAACAGGAUUAGAUACCCGCGUA